AACGAACGCUGGCGGCAUGCCUAACACAUGCAAGUCGAACGCGUGUAGCAAUACACGAGUGGCGGACGGGUGAGUAACGCGUGGGAACCUGCCCAGUGGUAGGGAAUAACUGCGGGAAACUGCAGCUAAUACCCUAUACGCCCUUUGGGGGAAGAUUCAUUGCCAUUGGAGGGGCCCGCGUCGGAUUAGCUAGUUGGCGGGGUAAUGGCCCACCAAGGCAACGAUCCGUAGCUGGCUGAGAGGAUGAUCAGCCACACUGGGACUGAGAUACGGCCCAGACUCCUACGGGAGGCAGCAGUGGGGAAUCUUGCGCAAUGGGCGAAAGCCUGACGCAGCGACGCCGCGUGAGGGAUGACGGCCUUCGGUUG
This 368-nucleotide ribosomal RNA is filed under the name uncultured bacterium. Its description in RNAcentral is "bacterial SSU rRNA". It matches the Rfam family "Bacterial small subunit ribosomal RNA", at positions 29 to 425 of the family's 1533-position model. The record is from RNAcentral.